UCUUGCGUAUUUCCUGGAUGGUUUCUA
RNAcentral lists this small RNA (27 nucleotides) under Bombyx mori (domestic silkworm). RNAcentral's name for it is "ovarian small RNA-30191". Lineage: Eukaryota; Metazoa; Arthropoda; Insecta; Lepidoptera; Bombycidae. The record is from RNAcentral.